AACGAACGCUGGCGGCAUGCCUAACACAUGCAAGUCGAACGAGACCUUCGGGUCUAGUGGCGCACGGGUGCGUAACGCGUGGGAACCUGCCCUUAGGUUCGGAAUAACUCCCCGAAAGGGGUGCUAAUACCGGAUAAUGUCUUCGGACCAAAGAUUUAUCGCCUUUGGAUGGGCCCGCGUUGGAUUAGCUAGUUGGUAGGGUAAAAGCCUACUAAGGCGACGAUCCAUAGCUGGUCUGAGAGGAUGAUCAGCCACACUGGGACUGAGACACGGCCCAGACUCCUACGGGAGGCAGCAGUGGGGAAUAUUGGACAAUGGGCGAAAGCCUGAUCCAGCAAUGCCGCGUGAGUGAUGAAGGCCUUAGGGUUGUAAAGCUCUUUUACCCGGGAUGAUAAUGGCAGUACCGGGAGAAUAAGCUCCGGCUAACUCCGUG
RNAcentral lists this ribosomal RNA (433 nucleotides) under uncultured bacterium. Its description in RNAcentral is "partial 16S ribosomal RNA". It matches the Rfam family "Bacterial small subunit ribosomal RNA", at positions 29 to 507 of the family's 1533-position model. The record is from RNAcentral.